ACACAGAUACAAACACUACCACAUGCAAAUGCACAGGAACACAGAAGCAAACACUGAUACACAUCUAGAUACACAGAGACACACAAUGACACACAUGCAGAUACAAGAAUUGACACAUACAUGCAGAUACACAGAUACACACACUGACACACAUGCAGAUACACAGACACAAAUAUACAAACACUGCUGCAGAUGUACAGAUACAAACACUGCC
Pelobates cultripes (western spadefoot toad) is the source of this 214-nucleotide non-coding RNA. The record is from the annotation of a GenBank genome assembly. NCBI's taxonomy places the organism in Eukaryota, Metazoa, Chordata, Amphibia, Anura, Pelobatidae.